CAGGGGUGUAUUUGUAUUUACUGUUACCACUGGAAUGCAGUGGUGUACUUGUAUGUAGUGUUUGCGUUUGAAUGCAGGGGUGUGUGUUUGUAUGUAGUGUUGGCUUUUAAAUGCAGUUGUGCUUUUGUGUAUUGAGUUGCUGUUUGUAUAUAAUUUUUAGCACUGGCAUAUAUACACACACACACAGAUACACAAACUUUGAAACAGGCACUGGUGCAUAC
Molecule: non-coding RNA, 221 nt
Organism: Pelobates cultripes (western spadefoot toad)
Lineage: Eukaryota; Metazoa; Chordata; Amphibia; Anura; Pelobatidae
Source: the annotation of a GenBank genome assembly